This 320-nucleotide unclassified non-coding RNA is filed under the name Hevea brasiliensis (rubber tree). Lineage: Eukaryota; Viridiplantae; Streptophyta; Magnoliopsida; Malpighiales; Euphorbiaceae. The record is from RNAcentral.
GAAAAAUUUUUUUAAGUCUUGAAUAAAAAAAGCAGACACUUAAAGCCAGCAUUUGUACAGAUGUUCUGCCCUACUCCUGGAAGGUAAUACCUUUCUAGCACAACUUGAUAAUAGAAAUGGUAAUUGACCAUUUGAUGGUUUUAAAAAACAAAAUGUUCAAGACACUCAAUGGUAUUUUUACAAAUAAGGAUAGUGUAGGAUCCAGGGAAGCUUAUGAGUUUCAAAUUAUUAAUGUAUGUUAUGCUUUAGUUCUGACAUUAGAAACAAAACGGAUAAGAGUCAUUUUUCUUUUAUUUUUGCUAAAAACAGGAGAUUAUAAU